UAUAAACACCUAAAUAAUCUCCUGACCCUCUUGUUUGCCAGAUGGAACUAUGUUUGCCUCCUUUCCAUUGGUUGUCAGCAAUUUCUGCCUUUGAGAAUUCCGUCCUUCUUAGAUAUAUGAACAUGCAUAUGGCCCGCUGCCUGUGUUUGGAACUUGAUUUACAGUCUGUGGCCUGCUUCCUAUCCCAGCCCUGUUGGAUUUGUUUGCCAGUUUGGACUAUCUUCAAGUUGCCAAACUACUACUUCAGGCUUCUGCAGUGAAGAGUACAAACCGUUCCAGUGUAUGUCCAUCAAAAACUGCGUUAGAGCCAUUUCUCCAAUGGAACCCUCAGCUUUGAGAUUUGUGACCCAGCUGCAAGACCUUCGGCCGUCUGUCAUCUUCUGAGCAACAUCAUGGAAGAAUGCAGAUUGCUUCAUCUCUGUGGCCACUAAAGUGAGUGAGAAAAAAAAUCCCUCAACUUCACAGAAUUGCUGAAUGUCCGUUUUUACAAAGUCGCAGAAAAGGAGGCGAGAGAUGUAAGCUGAUUGAUGCUGUUUCAUGAAACAGUAUGAUAUAGGUGCUUCCUGAAAUAUAAGGACUCUGCUUUGGUUCAAGCUGAAAGAAGUUGUUGUGGCACCACUCAGUGGAAGCCUUGACGAGACGGUAUUUGUGUAUCAGUUAAAUCUAAAUCAUAGGACAUAAAGGGUUGUUUACCUUGUUGAUGUGUUGGACAUUCAAAGAUAUCUGACUUAUUAACUGUCACCUGCAACACUUUUAAUAAAGACAAAAAAAAAUGGGGAUUCAAUUAGAUGUCAACAGUAAACAGACUGAGGUAUGUUUCUCUGUGUUCAUCUCAAAUCUCAGUUAUCAUCCAAACGCGCAAGCGUUCGUGGGUCAUCUCCGUACAUAUAUUACAAAUAUAUUUUUUAUACUUUCAUGCUGGGAACUUUUGCACAUCACCUAAACAAUAUUUGGCACAUUCCUGCAUAAAGUACUACCACUCAAAGUGCAAGCACUGUCUUUUAUAUUUAUUGUGCAUUAACUCUUUUUUUUAUUUACAAAUCUCGGCGUUGCAGUAGUACGUUUUAUUUUUAUGUUCUCCUACUUUGCUUAUUGUGUGUACCUAACAUAGACUUAGAAUGGACUAUUGUCCACAUUCAUUAAUUCUGGAUUUUUAAAUGAGAGCUGAGUAGACAGACAUUUUUUUUAAGAACUUUGAA
Anoplopoma fimbria (sablefish) is the source of this 1199-nucleotide long non-coding RNA. RefSeq lists it as uncharacterized. The transcript has 4 exons. Lineage: Eukaryota; Metazoa; Chordata; Actinopteri; Perciformes; Anoplopomatidae. The record is from RefSeq and is a predicted model, not a curated record.